Long non-coding RNA from Peromyscus eremicus (cactus mouse), 491 nucleotides. RefSeq lists it as uncharacterized. The record is from RefSeq and is a predicted model, not a curated record. Lineage: Eukaryota; Metazoa; Chordata; Mammalia; Rodentia; Cricetidae. The transcript is spliced from 3 exons.
UGCCAGAAACAGGGAAGCUUAUUUUAUUUUAUUUCAGGGUCCUGUGUCUCCCAUGCUGGUCUUGAAUUCAUUAUGUAGUUAUAGCAAGGAUGACCUUGAACUGAUCUCUCCACCCCACCAAGUGCUAGGAAUACAGACCAGGGCUGCACAACGGUGCCUGAUUUCCUCAGUGCUGGAGUUCCAACGCAGGCCUUCCUUCAGACGAGAUCAGGAAGUAGAGUUCUUAGCUACUCUCCAGCACCAUGUCUACCUGCAUGCUGCCAUGCUUCCCACCAUGAUGACAAUGGACUAAACUUCUGACCUGAACUCUUUUAAAAGGAGGGAGCUGGCCUCCCACAAGAAGCACAGUGAGGCAAACGGUGCAGUGUGGUAUGAUGGGCUAUGGGGUUCAGGGAAGAGGUAUAGUCUAUUUUCUAAGAUCUUCAACUGAUUAAAUGAGGUUCUCCCACAUCAUGUAUAGUAGACAAGCUACUCAAAGUUCACUAAUUUAA